GACGAACGCUGGCGGCGUGCCUAAUACAUGCAAGUCGAGCGGACUUUCAAGAAGCUUGCUUUUUGAAAGUUAGCGGCGGACGGGUGAGUAACACGUGGGCAACCUGCCUGCAAGACGGGGAUAACUCCGGGAAACCGGGGCUAAUACCGGAUAAUAUCUUCCUUCGCAUGAAGGAAGGUUGAAAGGCGGCGCAAGCUGCCGCUUGCAGAUGGGCCCGCGGCGCAUUAGCUAGUUGGUGAGGUAACGGCUCACCAAGGCGACGAUGCGUAGCCGACCUGAGAGGGUGAUCGGCCACACUGGGACUGAGACACGGCCCAGACUCCUACGGGAGGCAGCAGUAGGGAAUCUUCCGCAAUGGACGAAAGUCUGACGGAGCAACGCCGCGUGAGCGAAGAAGGUCUUCGGAUCGUAAAGCUCUGUUGUCAGGGAAGAACAAGUACCGUUCGAACAGGGCGGUACCUUGACGGUACCUGACCAGAGAGCCACGGCUAACUACGUG
This 499-nucleotide ribosomal RNA is filed under the name uncultured bacterium. RNAcentral's name for it is "partial 16S ribosomal RNA". It matches the Rfam family "Bacterial small subunit ribosomal RNA", at positions 28 to 507 of the family's 1533-position model. The record is from RNAcentral.